GAUAAACGCUGGCGGCGCACAUAAGACAUGCAAGUCGAACGAACUUAAUCAUCUUUAGUUGAGAGCGGUUAGUGGCGGACUGGUGAGUAACACGUAAGCAACCUGCCUAUUAGAGGGGAUAACAGUGAGAAAUCAUUGCUAAUACCGCAUAUGCUAACAGUAUCGCAUGAUACAGUUAGGAAAGGAGCAAUCCGCUAAUAGAUGGGCUUGCGUCUGAUUAGAUAGUUGGUGGGGUAACGGCCUACCAAGUCGACGAUCAGUAGCCGGACUGAGAGGUUGAACGGCCACAUUGGGACUGAGACACGGCCCAGACUCCUACGGGAGGCAGCAGUGAGGAAUAUUGGGCAAUGGGCGCAAGCCUGACCCAGCAAUGCCGCGUGAAGGAAGACGGUUUUCGGAUUGUAAACUUCUUUUAAGAGGGACGAUAAUGACGGUACCUCUUGAAUAAGCCACGGCUAACUACGUG
This 466-nucleotide ribosomal RNA is filed under the name uncultured bacterium. Its description in RNAcentral is "bacterial SSU rRNA". It matches the Rfam family "Bacterial small subunit ribosomal RNA", at positions 28 to 507 of the family's 1533-position model. The record is from RNAcentral.